GGCAUCAGGGAUGGAGAUGGGAGUCACCCUCUCAGGAAAGGAUGGGAAGAGGAGUCGGCCCCUCAUCUUUUGGUAUCUAGUCACUAUUCACAACCCACAUACGAGCUACAUGGUCUCAAGUCUCAGGCUGGGAACACACUGCUCCUCAUGAGGGUAGGUGCAGCCUCCAAAGCACUGCAAAGUCCCAAUCACAGAAACAAGUGGCCAGCCUUUAUCUGCACAUACUAAGUUGCUUUUAUUAAUCCAGAACGGCAUGCUACAGAUACUGUACAGCAUGAACAUUUAUUCAUUACAAAAAUGGCUUUCAAACCAUUAAAAAUGAACUUGGAAUAAGAGCAUAAAACGGAACAGUAACAUCACAACUGUUAGGAAACAUUCAAAGUAUUCACAAAAAAUGUUAUAGUUAGCAUUUUAAUAAACCAGAGAAAAAUCAGAGACAGUUUUACAAUCGCUUCAUGUCAACUACAAUGGCACUGAAUGAACAGGUUUCAGCUUUAUACAGCAUUUUGCAACAUCAACAUGCCUAGGUUUUUUUUUUUUAUUUUUAAAGUUCGCUACCUACUUGUAUGUAGUAUGUGUACAUAAAAGCGGCAGCUGGUUUUUCGUUUAAGAGUAAUCUAAUAUACAGAAUUUUGGCCCUUAAGGGUUUAUACCUCUUCAUUUAAAAUGCUUUCUGGACAAUCUGCUACCAAACACAUUUUGUUAUAGGUGACAUUAAAACUACAUACAAAUCUACCUAUGUAACAUCACAGCAAAACAUGAUGAACGAAAAGUACAGCAUCAAAAAGGGGGAGAAAGCUAAAGUCACUGAGAGUUUUGGCACAUAAAGUUUUGCACACGGUCAGUCCAUGUUCCUAAGGGCACAGGGCAUCUGACUAGGAGUUCAAAAGGGAAGGAGGGCAGUUACCACGGGCGCUCAGACAGCAUCGCUAACAUUCCCUCACCAAUGUUCAAGUCUUGCUUUACGUAAUGGCUUUUAAAGCAACUUUUGUUAAUGCUACUGAUCCUUAAUGCAACUAUUAAUGUCCAUUUAGCGGCAUCUGGGUUUCAUACAGGAAAACAAACAAACAAAAAAAGAGGUCAAAAAGGGAAACAAAAAAAUAUAUACACAUUUUUAUAUAUAAACUUAAAAACCUUGUACAAAUGAGUUGUUAUAUAUAAGAUGCUUAUGCUAAGGGAGAAAAAAAACUUUACACAGUUUCAAGAAAAAGGAAAACAUAUUUUAAAAGGGGACAACGUACAGGUACGACAAGCAAUCUCUAAAGCAAUAAAUACUACUGGUCCAACAGCGUUGUGAUUCCAUUAAUUGUUGAGUAGCAUCCCCCCUCCCCCAAAAGAACAACACCAUGGGACAAGGUUUAUUAACACAUUUUACCCUUUGUUUCUGUACAUUUAAACAAUAACAAGUAACAUCACAAUAAAAGUUGUUUCACACAGAAAAAAAAAAAAAAAAAGAACAGGCACUGCAUUCCUCAGUGCCCUCAACGGUUUAAAAACUAGGUGUAAAAUGAUUGGUUCGCAAGCUCAUAUUUAAUACAAAUAAUACAGAACUCCUUCUGGAGGGCUGCUUCAAAAUUGCUUCUCUCUCUUUUUUUUCUUUUUGUUUUUUAAUCAGUCUUUUAAAACUAAGCUAUCCGAACUACAUAACAGUUAUGUAUAUAUAUAUAUUUAUAUAUAUAUUUUAAACGCUACAAAGACUUUAAACAGCUGUUGAUAAAAAUUUUGGUAGAAUCAUGAGGUUCUUCUCUCAUCUACAUAUUUAAAAGGAGAAAUUGAAAUAAGAAUGGGUCAAAUAUUGACCAAUGAACUCGAUAAACACCAACUCAUGUAGCCACGUGGCACAAAACUAGAGUACGAAACAAAAGCUUUCGCGGGGGGGAGCGCAAACCGAGAACCGGACGACACACUCAAACCACGCGGGCGGCGGAGCUAAAGCUAUUCUAAAGACUUGGUGACGAGGGACAGAGGGCGGAGGCCUUGCCGUGGGCGGCCUCGGCCAGCAGGAGCGCGGGCGGCGGGGGCAUCAUGGCCAGGUGAGCCAGGGGGUCGGGCUUCAGGGACAGCGACAGCGGCUGGGUCUGCUCAGUCUGUGACUUGGCGUCUCGGGGAGGGGAGCCUAGCAGGUGCGGGGAGGGGAGGCGAGUCUAGUAGGCUUCCAUCUGAAGAGGGUGGGCUGAGGCAGCUGCCUUCACCUUGUAUGUAGCGAACGCACUUUUUUUUCUCCUAGAAACAGGGGGAGAGAGUUGUCUGUGAAUAAAGGGCAAAGACGUCACGGGAGACAGUCACCUAAUGUUCACGGCCACGGUGAAGCCACCUAAGGGAUGCCCGGUGCGCAGCAGGCCCGUGGCAGGUGGCCCGUGGCAGGUGGCAGGUGGCGCUGACGGGCUGUGGGUUCCCUAGCCACGCCCCUGUCUGCUCUGCUCUGCCACGAGGGACCUUUCAGAGGGCGCACUACCUGCCCCACCCCACCCCACCCCCGAACACCCACGAGGCCAGCCCUGCCCAAACAGAAACGAACAGACGAGAGGCAG
RNAcentral lists this long non-coding RNA (2531 nucleotides) under Heterocephalus glaber (naked mole-rat). Its description in RNAcentral is "lncRNA (ENSHGLG00100052197.1)". The record is from RNAcentral. Lineage: Eukaryota; Metazoa; Chordata; Mammalia; Rodentia; Bathyergidae.